UGAGCGCUGGCGGCAGGCCUACCACAUGCAAGUCGAACGGUAACAGAAAGCAGCUUGCUGCUUUGCUGACGAGUGGCGGACGGGUGAGUAAUGUCUGGGAAACUGCCUGAUGGAGGGGGAUAACUACUGGAAACGGUAGCUAAUACCGCAUAACGUCGCAAGACCAAAGAGGGGGACCUUCGGGCCUCUUGCCAUCGGAUGUGCCCAGAUGGGAUUAGCUAGUAGGUGGGGUAACGGCCCACCUAGGCGACGAUCCCUAGCUGGUCUGAGAGGAUGACCAGCCACACUGGAACUGAGACACGGUCCAGACUCCUACGGGAGGCAGCAGUGGGGAAUAUUGCACAAUGGGCGCAAGCCUGAUGCAGCCAUGCCGCGUGUAUGAAGAAGGCCUUCGGGUUGUAAAGUACUUUCAGCGGGGAGGAAGGGAGUAAAGUUAAUACCUUUGCUCAUUGACGUUACCCGCAGAAGAAGCACCGGCUAACUCCGUG
This 488-nucleotide ribosomal RNA is filed under the name uncultured bacterium. RNAcentral describes it as "partial 16S ribosomal RNA". It matches the Rfam family "Bacterial small subunit ribosomal RNA", at positions 30 to 507 of the family's 1533-position model. The record is from RNAcentral.